RNAcentral lists this transfer RNA (73 nucleotides) under Dreissena polymorpha. It matches the Rfam family "tRNA". From Rfam's summary of the family: Transfer RNA (tRNA) molecules are approximately 80 nucleotides in length. Their secondary structure includes four short double-helical elements and three loops (D, anti-codon, and T loops). The record is from Rfam by way of RNAcentral. Lineage: Eukaryota; Metazoa; Mollusca; Bivalvia; Myida; Dreissenidae.
GUUUCCAUAGUGUAAGUAUUAUCACGCUUGCUUCACACGCGAAAGGUACUGGGUUCGAGCCCCAGUGGAAACA